ACGUGUUUUUUUUGUUUUGUUUUCUGGUUUUCCGCUAGUUUUUGAGCUAAAAUGAUGACUGACGCUGCUAAAGUUAGAAUUGAAUCGUCCAAUUACAGGAAGUACACAUGCCAUUUGUUUUAUCCACUUGUUGAGGUUUUGUAUCACCGACUAGAAAAGUCUUACAAGUUUUUCCCCCAAAGCCUGAAAUUGUCGGAAGAGGGCGCCAGAAGCACACUAAUAAUUCUGAAGAAUCAAUGACUCGUUGUGCCUCAGGCUGGUCUCUUUGGUCCGAUGGCUCCCAGCAG
Molecule: long non-coding RNA, 287 nt
Organism: Xiphophorus maculatus (southern platyfish)
Lineage: Eukaryota; Metazoa; Chordata; Actinopteri; Cyprinodontiformes; Poeciliidae
Exons: 3
Source: RefSeq, a predicted model, not a curated record